AAUCGUAACAAGGUUUCCGUAGGUGAACCUGCGGAAGGAUCAUUGUCGAAACCUGCCCGGCAGAACGACCCGCGAACUCGUGAUUGACCUCGGGGGGGCGGUCCGGCGCAGGGAGCUCCGGCUUCCCGCGUCGGCCCCCUCCCUGCCGCGGGGGGCGGCGAGAUCUCGCUCGCUCCUCGCGGCAGAACAACGAACCCCCGGCGCGAGCUGCGCCAAGGAAAAUUAAACGAGAGAGGGCGCUCCCGCAGCCCCGGACACGGAUCGGCGCGCGGGAUGCGUCCCCUUCUUUCGAAGAAAAUCCAAAACGACUCUCGACAACGGAUAUUUCGGCUCUCGCAUCGAUGAGAAAUGCGAUACUUGGUGUGAAUUGCAGAAUCCCGUGAACCAUCGAGUCUUUGAACGCAAGUUGCGCCCCAAGCCUUUAGGCCGAGGGCACGUCUGCCUGGGUGUCACGCAUCUUUGCCCCCCCCACACCCUUUCCCCCUCUUGGGGGAUGGUCGGAGGGGCGGAAACUGGCCUCCCGUGCGCUCCAGCUCGCGGUUGGCACAAAUUUGAGUCCCUCGGCGACCGUGCCGCGACGAUCGGUGGUGGAACAUGCCUCUCGAGCUCCCGUCGCGCGCUCGCGUCCCGUGUCACGGGCUCGCGGACCCUUGUUAGCGUCCUCUCCUAGAGACGGCGCUCGCUUUGCGACCCCAGGUCAGGCGGGACUACCCGCUGAGUUUAAGCA
RNAcentral lists this small RNA (727 nucleotides) under Trichilia pallens. RNAcentral's name for it is "eukaryotic LSU rRNA". The stretch from base 307 to 452 matches the Rfam family "5.8S ribosomal RNA". Lineage: Eukaryota; Viridiplantae; Streptophyta; Magnoliopsida; Sapindales; Meliaceae. The record is from RNAcentral.